This 51-nucleotide microRNA precursor is filed under the name Marmota monax (woodchuck). The record is from RNAcentral. Lineage: Eukaryota; Metazoa; Chordata; Mammalia; Rodentia; Sciuridae.
UUUUUAGUAUAAAUAAGUCCAUGCAAUAUUUGGGACAUACUUAUUUUUAAA